RNAcentral lists this ribosomal RNA (437 nucleotides) under uncultured bacterium. Its description in RNAcentral is "bacterial SSU rRNA". It matches the Rfam family "Bacterial small subunit ribosomal RNA", at positions 43 to 524 of the family's 1533-position model. The record is from RNAcentral.
CAGGCCUAACACAUGCAAGUCGAACGAUGCCUUUCGGGGCAUAGUGGCGCACGGGUGCGUAACGCGUGGGAAUCUGCCCUGGGGUCUGGGAUAACCGUUGGAAACGACGGCUAAUACCGGAUGAUAUCGAGAGAUCAAAGAUUUAUCGCCCUGGGAUGAGCCCGCGUCGGAUUAGCUAGUUGGUGGGGUAAAGGCCUACCAAGGCGACGAUCCGUAGCUGGUCUGAGAGGAUGAUCAGCCACACUGGGACUGAGACACGGCCCAGACUCCUACGGGAGGCAGCAGUGGGGAAUAUUGGACAAUGGGCGCAAGCCUGAUCCAGCAAUGCCGCGUGAGUGAUGAAGGCCUUAGGGUUGUAAAGCUCUUUUAUCCGGGACGAUAAUGACGGUACCGGAGGAAUAAGCCCCGGCUAACUUCGUGCCAGCAGCCGCGGUAAU